RNAcentral lists this ribosomal RNA (133 nucleotides) under uncultured bacterium. Its description in RNAcentral is "partial 16S ribosomal RNA". It matches the Rfam family "Bacterial small subunit ribosomal RNA", at positions 355 to 502 of the family's 1533-position model. The record is from RNAcentral.
UCGAGAAUCUUCCGCAAUGCGCGAAAGCGUGACGGAGCAAUGCCGCGUGGAGGACGAAGGCCCUCGGGUCGUAAACUCCUGUCACUCGGAACGAACACAAUGACGGUACCGAGAGAGGAAGCCACGGCUAACU